GAUGAACGCUGGCGGUAUGCUUAACACAUGCAAGUCGAACGGGAUUCUUCGGAAUCUAGUGGCGGACGGGUGAGUAACGCGUGAGAAUCUGCCUUCAGGUCGGGGACAACAUUUGGAAACGAAUGCUAAUACCCGAUGUGCCGCAAGGUGAAAGGUUAACUGCCUGAAGAUGAGCUCGCGUCCGAUUAGCUAGUUGGUGGUGUAAAGGACUACCAAGGCGACGAUCGGUAGCUGGUUUGAGAGGACAAUCAGCCACACUGGGACUGAGACACGGCCCAGACUCCUACGGGAGGCAGCAGUGGGGAAUUUUCCACAAUGGGCGCAAGCCUGACGGAGCAAGACCGCGUGAGGGAAGAAGGUCUGUGGAUUGUAAACCUCUUUUGAUGGGGAAGAAGACAGUGACGGUACCCAUCGAAUCAGCCUCGGCUAACUCCGUGCCAGCAGCCGCGGUAAU
Molecule: ribosomal RNA, 454 nt
Filed under: uncultured cyanobacterium
Lineage: Bacteria; Bacillati; Cyanobacteriota
Description: bacterial SSU rRNA
Rfam family: Bacterial small subunit ribosomal RNA
Source: RNAcentral